This 255-nucleotide ribosomal RNA is filed under the name uncultured bacterium. RNAcentral describes it as "partial 16S ribosomal RNA". It matches the Rfam family "Bacterial small subunit ribosomal RNA", at positions 524 to 776 of the family's 1533-position model. The record is from RNAcentral.
CACGUAGGGUGCGAGCGUUGUCCGGAAUUAUUGGGCGUAAAGAGCUCGUAGGCGGUUUGUUGCGUCGGCUGUGAAAUCCCGAGGCUCAACCUCGGGUCUGCAGUCGAUACGAGCAAACUAGAGUGUUGCAGGGGAGACUGGAAUUCCUGGUGUAGCGGUGAAAUGCGCAGAUAUCAGGAGGAACACCGGUGGCGAAGGCGGGUCUCUGGGCAACAACUGACGCUGGAGGAGCGAAAGCCGUGGGGAGCGAACAGG